UAAAAGACUCUGAACAGGAAUAGUAUGUUGGCCUUUCAUUAAUAGAGAGCGUAUGUGUGGUGAAAAUACGUAUGAAAGAAACAGAACUCGCCUGGAAGUCGUUUAAGUGAAAUGAUCUUUUGAUUCUACUAACUUAAACCGUAGAUCUGCGUUAAAGAUUUAAGAUUGUCCUUUUAUCAAGGACAAUGAACUUAGGUGGUACCGCGAUAAAUAACGCCCUAUGA
RNAcentral lists this non-coding RNA (224 nucleotides) under Marinilactibacillus sp. RNAcentral's name for it is "T-box sequence". It matches the Rfam family "T-box leader". From Rfam's summary of the family: Uncharged tRNA acts as the effector for transcription antitermination of genes in the T-box leader family. T-boxes are found upstream of many aminoacyl-tRNA synthetase genes and some amino acid biosynthetic genes usually in Gram-positive bacteria. The anticodon of a specific tRNA base pairs to a specifier sequence within the T-box motif, and the NCCA acceptor tail of the tRNA base pairs to a conserved bulge in the T-box antiterminator hairpin. Lineage: Bacteria; Bacillati; Bacillota; Bacilli; Lactobacillales; Carnobacteriaceae. The record is from RNAcentral.